AGCGAACGCUGGCGGCAGGCCUAACACAUGCAAGUCGAACGGAUCCUUCGGGAUUAGUGGCGGACGGGUGAGUAACACGUGGGAACGUGCCCUUUGGUUCGGAACAACUCAGGGAAACUUGAGCUAAUACCGGAUGUGCCCUUCGGGGGAAAGAUUUAUCGCCAUUGGAGCGGCCCGCGUAGGAUUAGCUAGUUGGUGGGGUAAAGGCCCACCAAGGCUACGAUCCUUAGCUGGUCUGAGAGGAUGAUCAGCCACAUUGGGACUGAGACACGGCCCAAACUCCUACGGGAGGCAGCAGUGGGGAAUCUUGCGCAAUGGGCGAAAGCCUGACGCGGCCAUGCCGCGUGAAUGAUGAAGGCCUUAGGAUUGUAAAAUUCUUUCACCGGGGACGAUAAUGACGGUACCCGGAGAAGAAGCCCCGGCUAACUUCGUGCCAGCCGCCGCCGUAA
Molecule: ribosomal RNA, 449 nt
Filed under: uncultured bacterium
Lineage: Bacteria
Description: partial 16S ribosomal RNA
Rfam family: Bacterial small subunit ribosomal RNA
Source: RNAcentral